UACGGGGGGGGCGAGCGUUGUUCGGAAUCACUGGGCGUAAAGGGCGCGUAGGCGGCCCGCACAAGUCUGCGGUGAAAACCCCCGGCUUAACCGGGGGCCGGCCGUGGAAACUGUCGGGCUAGAGGCCGGGAGAGGGCAGCGGAAUUCCCGGUGUAGCGGUGAAAUGCGUAGAGAUCGGGAGGAACACCCGUGGCGAAGGCGACUUCCUGGCCUGUUCUUGACGCUGAGGCGCGAAAGCUAGGGGAGCAAACGGG
RNAcentral lists this ribosomal RNA (254 nucleotides) under uncultured bacterium. RNAcentral's name for it is "partial 16S ribosomal RNA". It matches the Rfam family "Bacterial small subunit ribosomal RNA", at positions 524 to 776 of the family's 1533-position model. The record is from RNAcentral.